AGGAAUGAAAUGGUCAAACCUGUUAGGUAAGUGUUGGGUGACUUUUUGACAAAUAAGUAAUAAAAUAAAGAAAAGAAAAUAUCAUCUUUUCUUCAUCUUCUCUCCACCGAAAAAAAUGGCAGCAAAGAAAGGGUUUAGAAGCUGGAAACUUUCAGUAAAGAAACUCCCUUUAUAAGUUUCCAAGUUAGCUCGGGUUGGAGGCCGUCAGAGAUAUUAUCACACUGUCAAGCUAACGCUAUUGGUGUAGUGAUUUCAAGUACUUUGAGCCUAUGGCAUGUAUAGGAGUUUAAAUAUUGGAGUAUGUGAUAUGCUUUAACCAUAUGUAUUGGCCUAUUUUGAUUAUGGGGUUGUAAAUCUAUUUUAAUUAUGCAUGCAUGUGCUAUGGUGUUAUGUGAUGAGUUUAUAAUGAUUAUAGUAAGAAUGUGAAAAA
This is a long non-coding RNA of Gossypium arboreum, 430 nucleotides long. RefSeq lists it as uncharacterized. The transcript is spliced from 2 exons. The record is from RefSeq and is a predicted model, not a curated record. Lineage: Eukaryota; Viridiplantae; Streptophyta; Magnoliopsida; Malvales; Malvaceae.